This 226-nucleotide ribosomal RNA is filed under the name Bacillus anthracis (anthrax bacterium). Its description in RNAcentral is "partial 23S ribosomal RNA". It matches the Rfam family "Bacterial large subunit ribosomal RNA", at positions 1405 to 1624 of the family's 2925-position model. Lineage: Bacteria; Bacillati; Bacillota; Bacilli; Caryophanales; Bacillaceae. The record is from RNAcentral.
ACAGGCGUAGGCGAUGGACAACAGGCUGAUAUUCCUGGACCACCUCUUUAUCGUUUGGGCAAUGGAGGGACGCAGAAGGAUCGAAGAAGCGUGCGAUUGGUUGUGCACGUCCAAGCAGUUAGGGUGAUAAGUAGGCAAAUCCGCUUAUCGUGAAGGCUGAGCUGUGAUGGGGAAGCUCCUUAUGGAGCGAAGUCUUUGAUUCCCAGCUGCCAAGAAAAGCUUCUAG